Molecule: ribosomal RNA, 497 nt
Filed under: uncultured bacterium
Lineage: Bacteria
Description: partial 16S ribosomal RNA
Rfam family: Bacterial small subunit ribosomal RNA
Source: RNAcentral
GAUGAACGCUGGCGGCGUGCCUAAUACAUGCAAGUCGAGCGAACAGACGAGGAGCUUGCUCCUCUGGCGUUAGCGGCGGACGGGUGAGUAACACGUGGAUAACCUACCUAUAAGACUGGGGUAACUUCGGGAAAACGGAGCUAAUACCGGAUAAUAUAUUGAAGCGGAUGGUUCAAUAGUGGAAGACGGUUUUGCUGUCACUUAUAGAUGGAUCCGCGCCGCAUUAGCUAGUUGGUAAGGUAACGGCUUACCAAGGCAACGAUGCGUAGCCGACCUGAGAGGGUGAUCGGCCACACUGGAACUGAGACACGGUCCAGACUCCUACGGGAGGCAGCAGUAGGGAAUCUUCCGCAAUGGGCGAAAGCCUGACGGAGCAACGCCGCGUGAGUGAUGAAGGUCUUCGGAUCGUAAAACUCUGUUAUUAGGGAAGAACAAAUGUGUAAGUAACUAUGCACGUCUUGACGGUACCUAAACAGAAAGCCCCGGCUAACUACGUG